Molecule: long non-coding RNA, 991 nt
Filed under: Equus caballus (horse)
Lineage: Eukaryota; Metazoa; Chordata; Mammalia; Perissodactyla; Equidae
Description: lncRNA (ENSECAG00000057060.1)
Source: RNAcentral
GCAAGAUUUUUUACCAGGAGGAUGGCCUCCAAAGUGUUUGAAAAUCAGGCCCAUAAGAGAACACAGUGUGGGGGGCUGGGGCGGGGGCGCGUGCACACACACGUGUGUAUGUGAGUGUGGGGAGCUGUGUGGCUUCUCCUAACUUCCAGAAGUCAGGAAAUGGUUACAGAGGCAGAAUGUGGGAGUAGCUGAUGGCAAUAGCCCAAAGAUUUUACUUAAAAAUGCGAGAAAACCAAAGGCUGUGGAGAUAGGAACUUUCCCCCUCUCUUGAAGUGGACUAAGGAAGGUGAUUAAGUAAGAAAAGAAGGCACAGCCAGUAACUUUCCAAGUAGAAUUGGAUGCACGCCUGGGGUGAGUCUGGACGUCAGUUAAACUGAGAAAUACUCUGAUUCCCACUGACCCUCUUGAUUCACCAGGAACAGAUGGGGGCCGAGAGAUAUCACAACCCCAGCGAAUAAAGGGACGCUUUUGUCACAAGGGGAAAACAGAAGGGUUUGGCGGACAGAGCAGUGGAGAAAUUUGUGAUCAAAGUUAACAUCAUCAGUAAAAAGACAACAGAUAUCAUAUGUCUUCUGAUAUGAUGCACUGAGAAGAACACAACAUCACUUAUCUGAUAUUCCUGCCUAAAAAAUGCAUAAACUUAGUUAAUUAUGAGAAAACAUCAAACAAACUCAAAUUAAAGGAUAUUCCACAAAGUAACUGGAUUGUACUCUUCAAAAAUGUCAAGAUCAUAAAGGAUAAGGAAAGACUGAGGAAUUGUUCUGGAAUAAAGACCCGAGACAUGACAACUGAAUGUUAUGCAUGGUCCUAGAUUUUCUUUGCUUAUAAUGAAUAUUAUUAGGACAGUUGGAAAAUUUAAAUAUAGCCAUUUAGCAUCAUAUCAGUAUUAAUUUCUUGAUUAUGAUACUGAUUGUGGUUAUGGAAGAGAAUGUCCUUGUUUUUAGUAAACAUACACUAAAGUAUUUAGGGAUAGAUAGAUAAAGCAAAUGUG